Molecule: ribosomal RNA, 1075 nt
Filed under: uncultured bacterium
Lineage: Bacteria
Description: bacterial SSU rRNA
Rfam family: Bacterial small subunit ribosomal RNA
Source: RNAcentral
AGAGUUUGAUCCUGGCUCAGAACGAACGCUGGCGGCAGGCCUAACACAUGCAAGUCGAGCGCGCCCUUCGGGGUGAGCGGCGGACGGGUUAGUAACGCGUGGGAAUAUACCCGACACUAAGGAAUAGCCUCUGGAAACGGAGAGUAAUACCUUAUACGCCCUUCGGGGGAAAGAUUUAUCGGUGACGGAUUAGCCCGCGUUAGAUUAGAUAGUUGGUGGGGUAAUGGCCUACCAAGUCUACGAUCUAUAGCUGGUUUUAGAGGAUGAUCAGCAACACUGGGACUGAGACACGGCCCAGACUCCUACGGGAGGCAGCAGUGGGGAAUCUUGGACAAUGGGCGCAAGCCUGAUCCAGCCAUGCCGCGUGAGUGAUGAAGGCCUUAGGGUCGUAAAGCUCUUUCGCCAGAGAUGAUAAUGACAGUAUCUGGUAAAGAAACCCCGGCUAACUCCGUGCCAGCAGCCGCGGUAAUACGGAGGGGGUUAGCGUUGUUCGGAAUUACUGGGCGUAAAGCGCGCGUAGGCGGAUUAGUCAGUUAGAGGUGAAAUCCCGGGGCUCAACCCCGGAACUGCCUUUAAUACUGCUAGUCUUGAGUUCGAGAGAGGUGAGUGGAAUUCCGAGUGUAGAGGUGAAAUUCGUAGAUAUUCGGAGGAACACCAGUGGCGAAGGCGGCUCACUGGCUCGAUACUGACGCUGAGGUGCGAAAGUGUGGGGAGCAAACAGGAUUAGAUACCCUGGUAGUCCACACCGUAAACGAUGAAUGCCAGUCGUCGGGUAGCAUGCUAUUCGGUGACACACCUAACGGAUUAAGCAUUCCGCCUGGGGAGUACGGUCGCAAGAUUAAAACUCAAAGGAAUUGACGGGGGCCCGCACAAGCGGUGGAGCAUGUGGGUUUAAUUCGAAGCAACGCGCAGAACCUUACCAACCCUUGACAUCCUGUGGUUCAUCCCCAGAAGGGAGGGUUCCCUUCCGGGGAACCAAUGACAAGGUGUUUCAUGGGUGUCCUCCACCCCGCGUCCCGGGAAAAUUCCGGUUAAAUUCCCGCCACCCAAGGGCCACCCACCAUCCCUUUUUUUA